Long non-coding RNA from Oxyura jamaicensis (ruddy duck), 598 nucleotides. RefSeq lists it as uncharacterized. NCBI's taxonomy places the organism in Eukaryota, Metazoa, Chordata, Aves, Anseriformes, Anatidae. The record is from RefSeq and is a predicted model, not a curated record. The transcript has 3 exons.
AGUUUGCCUGCCUAUGUGGAGAAAUAAGCUCAAACAAAGGUUAAUGUUUUUAAAGGUCUUCUGUAUCAGGGUUUUAUUAAGUUAAGGACCUGGUAUUUUUAUAUGCUGUACUCAAUCAGAGAGCUGUUUUAUCAUAGACUUUCCACAAACCUUGAAAUAUUUAAACAGGGAAUUUUCCCGUAGCUCAAGUAGCGCAGAUCAGAUCCGUUUCAGAUGUUUACCUCAGCCUCUCCAGAUUUUCUACAGGGAAAGCAGAUCUCUGUUCUGCUGCAGCAGCGCAGGGGAUACCACGUACAAAGGAGAGCUGCAUCAUGAGUGCUAAGCUGCUCUGGACUGCCUGGGCCUGGCUGCAGAAGACGACCCAAAACUAAAGAAACUGGAGAACAUAAUUUGUUCCUGAUGCUCCUGAGGCCUAACCUGCUCUCGCUGUCAACACACCACUAUGAAUACAAGAUGAAGCACCAACUGGUCAUUGGAGGACAAGAGCUUAUGCAGGUGCUGAGGUGAGAUUCUCACAAAGUCUUCACAUUCCACCACCUCAGUGAAGUGUUCGCAGGCGUACUGAUCGGCCAUGUCCAUCAAGUCAAUGCGGUUGUGA